GCUCUUCGGGGUAUUUGGUCAACUGAAAACAUACAGAGAAGAUUAGCAUAGCCUCUGCCUAAGAAUGACACGCUCAAUCGAAGAGAAGCUACUUGGUUUC
Molecule: small nuclear RNA, 100 nt
Filed under: Penicillium italicum
Lineage: Eukaryota; Fungi; Ascomycota; Eurotiomycetes; Eurotiales; Aspergillaceae
Source: RNAcentral